GAAAUGCGAUAAUUAAUGUGAAUUGCAGAAUUCAGUGAAUCAUCGAGUCUUUGAACGCACAUUGCGCCCCCUGGUAUUCCGGGGGGCAUGCCUGUCCGAGCGUCAUUGCUGCCCUCAAGCACGGCUUGUGUGUUGGGCUUCCGUCCCUGGCAACGGGGACGGGCCCAAAAGGCAGUGGCGGCACCAUGUCUGGUCCUCGAGCGUAUGGGGCUUUGUCACCCGCUCCCGUAGGUCCAGCUGGCAGCUAGCCUCGCAACCAAUCUUUUUAACCAGGUUGACCUCGGAUCAGGUAGGGAUACCCGCUGAAUUUAAGC
This 314-nucleotide unclassified non-coding RNA is filed under the name plant metagenome. Its description in RNAcentral is "partial contains 5.8S ribosomal RNA, internal transcribed spacer 2, and large subunit ribosomal RNA". The stretch from base 1 to 105 matches the Rfam family "5.8S ribosomal RNA", at positions 50 to 154 of the family's 154-position model. The record is from RNAcentral.